GAAGUUUUUCUACCUGUUUUACAGGUUUCAAAUAUUGUGAGAACUUAUACCCCAUAGUGAUCAAAAGAGAGAUAAGGCAUCUUUCCUAUUAGUGGUCAUUGAGUACAUUCAAUUUUUACAUGAGAAGGUACACAAAUACGAACAAUUAUAUCUAGGAUGGAAUCCAAAGCCAACUAAGCUGACGCCAUGGAGAAGCAGCCAUGGUCCUGGAGAAAGUAUGAUUCAUCAUUCACGAGAUAUGAAAACUGAUCCUGGUCCUGGGUUGAUGUUUGCUGGAAAAUUUGAUGAGAAUAAUGUCGCCAUGACCCCCACCAUGCUUCCAAAUGCAC
This is a long non-coding RNA of Telopea speciosissima, 329 nucleotides long. RefSeq lists it as uncharacterized. The record is from RefSeq and is a predicted model, not a curated record. The transcript has 3 exons. NCBI's taxonomy places the organism in Eukaryota, Viridiplantae, Streptophyta, Magnoliopsida, Proteales, Proteaceae.